AGUGAACGCUGGCGGUAGGCCUAACACAUGCAAGUCGAACGGCAGCACCGUAAGAGCUUGCUCUUACGGGUGGCGAGUGGCGGACGGGUGAGGAAUACAUCGGAAUCUACUUUUUCGUGGGGGAUAACGUAGGGAAACUUACGCUAAUACCGCAUACGACCUACGGGUGAAAGCAGGGGAUCUUCGGACCUUUCGCGAUUGAAUGAGCCGAUGUCGGAUUAGCUAGUUGGCGGGGUAAAGGCCCACCAAGGCGACGAUCCGUAGCUGGUCUGAGAGGAUGAUCAGCCACACUGGAACUGAGACACGGUCCAGACUCCUACGGGAGGCAGCAGUGGGGAAUAUUGGACAAUGGGCGCAAGCCUGAUCCAGCCAUACCGCGUGGGUGAAGAAGGCCUUCGGGUUGUAAAGCCCUGUUGUUGGGAAAGAAAAGCAGCAGGUUAAUACCCCGCUGUUCUGACGGUACCCAAAGAAUAAGCACCGGCUAACUACGUG
RNAcentral lists this ribosomal RNA (492 nucleotides) under uncultured bacterium. RNAcentral's name for it is "partial 16S ribosomal RNA". It matches the Rfam family "Bacterial small subunit ribosomal RNA", at positions 29 to 507 of the family's 1533-position model. The record is from RNAcentral.